UAGCUAUUUUAUAUUCUAUGAAUUGUUAUAUGUUUUAUAAAAUUUGCAAGCAGCUAAUUAAGUAUGUUUGUGAAAUACAAUACAACGAAAACUUCGAGGAAUUUGUUUGCUUGGCUUCAAGUUCCAAUUCGUGUGAUGACUUUGAUCACUUUCGUUGUAUUUUAUUUGUGUUUUAUUAUCUAUUUAAAAUUUAAAGGGCCCACAGUAAUUUGUAACAUAUACUGUUGUGGUGACCCUGCCAUGAAUGCAUGCAUGAUAAUGGCGAAGUUAAAUAAAUAAAGUACAGCCGGUUUUCCACUUCAACUAUAUCGUAACGUACCGUAGCAUUUUCUUUUGUGUCGAAGUCAUUAGUUCCACUCUAGUGGUCAAGAAACAAAGAAACACGCUACGUUUCGGUACGAUACGAUUGAAGUGGAAAACUGGCUUAAGGCCCCGUUUACAUGAAACCGGAACGAAGUGAAAUCGGGACCAUUUCGUUUUGGUCAUAGUAUUAUUUAUAAUAGAUGUAAACAUGAGACCAGGACGAAAAUAACUCUGACCGGUCUCAAGUCAUUCCGCCUGCUGGACCUAGCCGACUGACUUAGGCCCCAGUUACACGAUACCGGAUUCGCAUCGGAGCGACAUCAAAUUUUACUGCUUCGAGUUGAAUUUGGGCACUUAAAAUUAUGAUAAUAUAACAUAAUUAAACAAAAGCUUCAAAUAUAAAAAGUUGUAAGAGCAGGCAUGACUGGAAAACACCUUAAAUCGAUGUCGCUCCGAUACGAAUCCGGUAUGGUGUAUAACUGGGGCCUUAGACCGGGAUGAAUGUGAACGCAAGUACAUUUCAGACCGGUCUCGGCUGUAACCUUGACAUUGGAACAACACAUAGAUAACAAAAGCCAUCUGAAAAAGAAAUUAAUUGUCUGGCAAGGGGAAUAAAUUGAAAAUUUCGUGAUUUUCGUACCGGUCUCAAGUGAACAUGUUGACAAUUUCAAUUUUCAUUCUGGUUCGACUUCGUCGCGAUCUCAUGUAAACGGGGCCUAAGUUAGUAACUUCUAGUAGCUAGUAUAGUAAUAUUUAGUUAUCGUGACUGUCAGAAAGCUAAAACUUUGUCAUAGAAAAUUUAUUGUAGGUAAACACGUGCGAUUGACGAAUAAACUAUAGAGUAUAGAAAACCUACUCAUCUGUAACCGGCUUUAUAGCAUAGCCCGCGUGCAGGCCCAUCGAGAGAAGAAUAUACCCUCGAUGGGCCAGCACGCGGGCUAGCUUUAGCAUCGCAAAUGACAAAUUGCAUGUCAGGUUAAUUUUUUAUCUAGGCAAAUAAAAGUAAAUUCCCCAAAAAAACUUAUUAAAAAAAAGCCAUGACCAGCCGACAAUUUAAAAAAAUAAAGUAAAAAACAAAUUCCGAAAAUACAGGACAUCUUGAGAAUUCAAUAUAUAAUUCAAAAGGGCCAUUCCAUUUAAUGAACACACCCCCCUGUGGACGAAGUCAAUAAAAUUUGAACCCCUAAGAAAAAAAGAUCAAAGUGCCGACACAAACACCCCUUCAGAAAUUAAGAAAUUUUUGCCUUACCCCUCGGAAAAAACGCAAAGAUCAAAGGAUGCCGAUGCACACAGCCCCUCAGAAACGGCUUUUUCAACCCCCCUCUGAAAUUUUCGUCCACAGGGGGGGGGGGUGUAUAUUAAAUGGAAUGGCCCAAAACAAAGACGCAGUUUGAGACUGUAAAUUUUCGACUUUAUUUCAAAGUCAUCUUCAGACAGAAAGAAAUACAAUACUUUACAACACAUAUAUAUAUACAACGCAGAGAGAGAGCAUCUGUCAUGUGGGCGGAAAGAAGGAUUAUCCAAGCGAAGCGAAACAUGAUAAAGAAAAUAGUAAUAACUGAAAAUGGAAUAUUUAGCUAUAUUUACAACAAUGUUUAAUAUAUUAAAAUGAUUAAGGUAGAAAGGGAAAGACCCGACAUGUAGAAGAAGAUUGAGUUGAAGUGUUAUGUGAACAGUUGUAGUAGUUGUAGUUGUGAACAGUUGUAGUUAUUAAAAUUAGUAAAACUGCAAAAUUUGGUUAUGAAAUGUGGUAAAAUACGGAAAAUAUAGCCUUGCGAAGUUUGCAUAUUUUGUAUAUGUUUGUAUUACGUGCGGAAAUUGUUUCAAUUUUUGAGCUGAAAAUGCUAACAAUUUCCGCAUAAUACAAACGUACAAUAUUUGCAAACUUUGCAAGACUAUAUUUUCCAAGCUUUACAACAUUUCGCAACCAAAUUUUGCAAUUUUACCAAUUUCAUUAUGUUCUUUUUAGCUGUGGUGUUUGAUUUUCUUCUCUUUACUUAGCGGAUUAAAAUUUAGUCUAACAUGCAAGUUGUCCAUUAAGUGCUUUAAAGAAAAUGUACAUCCAAAAUGAUCGGUAAUCAUAUACAAUUGAGAAAUACAGGAAUUUUUACGGUGACGCUAGAUAGUAUACUUCAAAAUAAGGUUUCCGUUUUUAUAACGUAGAAAAAACUAUCCUAACGCAAAACUAAACCCUAACCCUAAUACUCACCCUAACCCCAACCUAACCUAAACCCUAACCUAACCCUAACUUAUUUUAAUUAUUUUAAAAAUUGAUAUAAAAACGGAAACCUUAUUUUGAAGUAUACUAUCUAGCAAUUGCCGAAUUUUUACCGAUACCCGGAUUGUCCACCGAUAACGCAAUAACCUCCGAUUCCAAUUAUAUUCAAUCAAUAUACCAGUAUAGAGUAAUUAGCCAUCUUCCAAAUUUUAAUUACAAAAUAGUAUUUAAUGCACAGGUAUGUUGAAUUCCACUACAGGUUGUGUAUUGUACGCUACAACGAGACUUUUGUCUGCAAGCAGGUGGAAACUAUUACAAAAUUUUAAACUGAGUUUUUUGAAGUAAAAAAUUCUUUAGUAUAUAUCAUGUAAUGAUGUAGUAUAUAUUUUGGCGUAAGCUAUUUAAAGCUAUAUAUGGAUGUAAAGAUAUUCGACACGAGUUCUGGUUUUAUGAUGGCUAUAUAGAG
Paramuricea clavata is the source of this 2987-nucleotide non-coding RNA. Lineage: Eukaryota; Metazoa; Cnidaria; Anthozoa; Malacalcyonacea; Plexauridae. The record is from the annotation of a GenBank genome assembly.